This 451-nucleotide ribosomal RNA is filed under the name uncultured Moraxellaceae bacterium. RNAcentral describes it as "bacterial SSU rRNA". It matches the Rfam family "Bacterial small subunit ribosomal RNA", at positions 354 to 796 of the family's 1533-position model. Lineage: Bacteria; Pseudomonadati; Pseudomonadota; Gammaproteobacteria; Moraxellales; Moraxellaceae. The record is from RNAcentral.
GUGGGGAAUAUUGGACAAUGGGGGCAACCCUGAUCCAGCCAUGCCGCGUGUGUGAAGAAGGCCUUUUGGUUGUAAAGCACUUUAAGCAGGGAGGAGAGGCUAAUGGUUAAUACCCAUUAGAUUAGACGUUACCUGCAGAAUAAGCACCGGCUAACUCUGUGCCAGCAGCCGCGGUAAUACAGAGGGUGCGAGCGUUAAUCGGAAUUACUGGGCGUAAAGCGAGUGUAGGUGGCUCAUUAAGUCACAUGUGAAAUCCCCGGGCUUAACCUGGGAACUGCAUGUGAUACUGGUGGUGCUAGAAUAUGUGAGAGGGAAGUAGAAUUCCAGGUGUAGCGGUGAAAUGCGUAGAGAUCUGGAGGAAUACCGAUGGCGAAGGCAGCUUCCUGGCAUAAUAUUGACACUGAGAUUCGAAAGCGUGGGUAGCAAACAGGAUUAGAAACCCUGGUAGUCC